Molecule: ribosomal RNA, 57 nt
Filed under: Trichoderma virens
Lineage: Eukaryota; Fungi; Ascomycota; Sordariomycetes; Hypocreales; Hypocreaceae
Also listed under: 2 other names
Description: partial 18S ribosomal RNA
Rfam family: Eukaryotic small subunit ribosomal RNA
Source: RNAcentral
GAGGAAGUAAAAGUCGUAACAAGGUCUCCGUUGGUGAACCAGCGGAGGGAUCAUUAC